This 253-nucleotide unclassified non-coding RNA is filed under the name uncultured Caryophanales bacterium. Its description in RNAcentral is "uncultured Bacillales bacterium contains 16S-23S intergenic spacer region". It matches the Rfam family "Bacterial small subunit ribosomal RNA", at positions 524 to 776 of the family's 1533-position model. The record is from RNAcentral. Lineage: Bacteria; Bacillati; Bacillota; Bacilli; Caryophanales.
UACGAAGGGGGCUAGCGUUGUCCGGAAUUAUUGGGCGUAAAGCGCGCGCAGGCGGUCCUUUAAGUCUGAUGUGAAAUCUUGCGGCUCAACCGCAAGCGGUCAUUGGAAACUGGGGGACUUGAGUACAGAAGAGGAGAGCGGAAUUCCACGUGUAGCGGUGAAAUGCGUAGAGAUGUGGAGGAACACCAGUGGCGAAGGCGGCUCUUUGGCCUAUAACUGACGCUGAGGCGCGAAAGCGUGGGGGGCAAACAGG